RNAcentral lists this ribosomal RNA (695 nucleotides) under uncultured Bacteroidales bacterium. RNAcentral's name for it is "bacterial SSU rRNA". It matches the Rfam family "Bacterial small subunit ribosomal RNA", at positions 32 to 715 of the family's 1533-position model. Lineage: Bacteria; Pseudomonadati; Bacteroidota; Bacteroidia; Bacteroidales. The record is from RNAcentral.
AACGCUAGCUACAGGCUUAACACAUGCAAGUCGAGGGGCAGCAUGGACCCAGUUUUGCUGGGUUUGAUGGCGACCGGCGCACGGGCGAGUAACGCGUAUCCAACCUGCCCUUUACUCCGGGAUAGUCUCCUGAAAGGGAGUUUAAUACCGGAUGUGUUUGUCUUUCCGCAUGGGAGCGACAAAUAAAGAUUGAUUGGUAAAGGAUGGGGAUGCGUCCCAUUAGCUUGUUGGCGGGGUAACGGCCCACCAAGGCGACGAUGGGUAGGGGUUCUGAGAGGAAGGUCCCCCACAUUGGAACUGAGACACGGUCCAAACUCCUACGGGAGGCAGCAGUGAGGAAUAUUGGUCAAUGGGCGGGAGCCUGAACCAGCCAAGUAGCGUGAAGGAUGACGGCCCUACGGGUUGUAAACUUCUUUUAUAAGGGAAUAAAGUUCGCCACGUGUGGUGUUUUGUAUGUACCUUAUGAAUAAGCAUCGGCUAAUUCCGUGCCAGCAGCCGCGGUAAUACGGAAGAUGCGAGCGUUAUCCGGAUUUAUUGGGUUUAAAGGGAGCGUAGGCGGGCUUUUAAGUCAGCGGUCAAAUGCCACGGCUCAACCGUGGCCAGCCGUUGAAACUGCAAGCCUUGAGUCUGCACAGGGCACAUGGAAUUCGUGGUGUAGCGGUGAAAUGCUUAGAUAUCACGAAGAACUCCGAUUG